RNAcentral lists this ribosomal RNA (561 nucleotides) under Sinorhizobium sp. KNF15. RNAcentral describes it as "bacterial SSU rRNA". It matches the Rfam family "Bacterial small subunit ribosomal RNA", at positions 321 to 873 of the family's 1533-position model. Lineage: Bacteria; Pseudomonadati; Pseudomonadota; Alphaproteobacteria; Hyphomicrobiales; Rhizobiaceae. The record is from RNAcentral.
GAGCAGCAGUGGGGAUCUUAGGCGAGCGGCCGUGCGUAAUCCUGCAAAACGGGCGCAAUCAUGAACCCGUCCUGGUGGUUAAGUGCUGUUGGUCUUAGAAUUGUCGCGCUCUUUCACCCGUGGCGUUAAUGACGGUACCCGAAGAAUAAGCCCCGGCUAACUUCGUGCCAGCAGCCGCGGUAAUACGUAGGGGGCUAGCGUUGUUCGGAAUUACUGGGCGUAAAGCGUGAUGUAGGCGGUUUUGUAAGUCAGGGGUGAAAUCCCCCGAGCUCAACCUCGGAAUGUGCGUUUGUAUACUGGGUAUCUUGAGUGAUGUCAGAGGUGGAGUGGAAUUCCGAAGUGUAGCGAGUGAAAUUCGUAGAUAUUUGGAGGAACACCAGUGGCGCAAGGCGAGCUCCCUGGUCCAUUACUGACGCUCAUGCGCGAAAGCGUGGGGAGCAAACAGAUUAGAUACCCUGGUAGUCCACGCCGUAACGUUGACUGUUAACCGUCGGGCAUCAUUCUCUCGGUGCUCACCUAAGACGACAACUGCCGCCCGGGGCACCCGCGUCGCUUAAGCCC